This is a long non-coding RNA of Acanthopagrus latus (yellowfin seabream), 735 nucleotides long. RefSeq lists it as uncharacterized. The transcript has 4 exons. NCBI's taxonomy places the organism in Eukaryota, Metazoa, Chordata, Actinopteri, Spariformes, Sparidae. The record is from RefSeq and is a predicted model, not a curated record.
UUUACUUGUUGGAUGCUAGCUAGAUUGCUAUAAUGGACAAGAAAGGAGAAGCAAGUUUUCAGUUUUAGCUUUGAUGAGUUGAAGGAAUUGAUCGAGUCGGUGGAAGACAGGUGAUAGACAAGGGCACUCAGGAAUGUUUGCUCUGCCAACACUCAGCGACUGUAGAUGUCGUCGUUCUCUCCAGCCUCGAGUGAAACAGACACUGCAGCCUUUUAUCAGCCGGACACGGCCCGAGGAGGAAGGUCCUCCUGUGGUUUUCUCCCUCCCAGUGAUUUUCCGUUCCUUCCCUCACCUGUCCAUUUCCCUUAUCACCCCACCUGGUCCUGAUCCCCUCAUUAGUGUGUCUGUGUAUAUAGUAUUUGUUCUCCCUCACGUCUUUGUCACUUCGUUCCGUCUUCAUCUGUCUUCCCCUGUGAUGCCACCCUGCAUUCUCCUCCAGUGUCUCCUCCUACGUCCCCCCAUUGCUUCGUGUAAUUAAAGCACGCUUUUCGGAAGGAGGAACCAGAGGGAGGAGAUUAAAAAACACAUCACAGAUCAUGGAGGUUCCCUGAUCACAUGCUCUGCCAAUUGAGGUACCAGGCGUCCCCAUGUCUACUUGUUUGUUGGUUUGCAGACAGGAUUGCACAAAAAAUACUGAACAGAUUUCCACAAAACUUGGAUGGAGGAUGGGUUUUGGCCUAGAACACAACCCAGGAUCUUUUGUCGUGGAUCUGAAUAAAGGGACUUAUCCAGGAA